GGUGGGUAACUUCCGCCAGACUUUUCUGGAGAUGGCUAAUCCAGCCGUGGGAUGUGGUUUCUUCUAACAGCCAGUCAGGAAAAUCUUGCUUCUCAAACUCCUGUCUUGACCCCUUCCUGAACUUUGCCUCCUGGAUCUUGAGGUCUGCCUUCUGUGGAAGAGAAAUACUAGAAUCAAUGAACUGUGAACUAGAGCCCUGGGAUUAUCAACAGCCAGCUGAAAUUUUGAGAGCCACCUUAUAGAAAGCCUAACAGCAAAGACUGGAGAGAGGCUUCCAGCCAACAGCCAGCAAGGAAUUGAAGCCCUCAGUCCAAUAGCAGUGAGGAAUUGAAUCCUGCCAACAGCCUCGUGGAUGGGUUGCUUGCUGCCUGAAUCUAACUCCUGCUACUACUGCAAAUACCACUGCCAUGAAUAUCCUCAGCAAGACCCCCUUCCAGACCUGCAUGAACAGUUGUGUGAAAUGUAUAUGCACAAAGGGACUGCAAGGGAAGACCCAGAGACUAGGGAAGAACUUGGAACAAUAAUCUCAGUUUCUUCAAUUCCUAAACUUGAGAGUAUUGCUGUUUUUAAAUGAAAGUAUUUUUUCCCCCUAAGCAUUUUGUUCUAAAGUUGAGCUGCCUUUGAGGGGAAAUAAAGAGACUACCAGAUUAAUGGGUUUUUUUCAAAUGGGAUGGUGGGGUAAGGAAUAAUCGGGGUGGUCUGUGGAACAACUUGGAGGAUUGGUGUUAUGUCUCAAGAAGAUAUUCAAGUAUGUUCCUCCUUUUUUACCCAGACCGACUGCUUCAUGCUGGGCUUCAGACAUGAGAGGCUAGGAGUAGGAGGCAUGCCUUGUUCAAAGAUACCCAGUUCUCCCAGGACCAUUUGUUGAAAAGGCAGGCACCUCAUUUUACAGAAGAGGAAACUGAGGCCCAGAAAGAGAAGUGGCAUGCCCAAGGCUGUGCCAGAAGCAAAGUGUAAAAUAGAUCCUGAGCCUCCGACUCCUGGUCUUAAAUGUGGGAAAUAGUCUACAGUUUGGAAGACACCAGAGAAAAAUGCUCCACAGCUCGCCCUGGUGACUCACUACAACUUAUGGGAAGAUGUGAGAUUAUUCUGUAUUCUAAUGUAUGUUAGAAGGCACACUCCACCCAAAGCCUUCCUGUGUGUUCCUCCCUGUGAGCUCACAUCCCGUUCACCAGCUGACUGGGAAGGGAAGUCAGGACCAGCCCUGACCCCAUCACACCAUCAUAACCUCGGGAUGGCAGGGCUGGAAGGCACCUCAGACGUCAUCCUUUGCAGACUCUUCAUUUUACAGUGAGAGGCAUGACGUGUCCACAGCUGGUUAGUGCCAAAGCCUGGGACAGGCUUCACAUUGUCCAGCUCUUAGUCAGAGCACUGUUGACAAUGUCUGCCUUCACUUGGAAUUCAGCACCUGCUUUCAGUAUAAACCCCUGCAUUUCACUAAAACUGAGCAGACUGCUGGUUUAAAAAAGAGAGGUCCAUCCAGCAGGGAUGAUGCUUUUCCUCGUUGAAAGAGGACAUUCACCUAAUGGGAGACCUGGAGUCAGAAUCUUUCUGAUGUGUGACUUGGCACAGUAACACAAUGCAGGAUGCUGGUGUGUUAAUAAAAAUAAAAAUUGCAUCGCCUACCUCAGAGUCGACAACAAUGUCAAGGAGUUAAUAGUCUUGGCAACACAGAGGCCACUGGACAGAGGCAUAACCUUGCGUGGCAGCUGCACGGGAAUUGGAUUUGGCUCAGGUGUUUCAGAUGACUAAGAACAAAGGGGACCACUCUUGGUAUAGAAGUUCAUCUCGUCGGGAGCAUCUGUGGUUCUUUUAUAAGCAAUGUACAUUCUACAAUAGAGGCAGACCCAGAAAUAAUUCAGAUAUUGGAGUUAGAAGAUCAGGAUUCUAAAAAAACCAAAAGAUCCUGCCUUACUAUGCACCUAUGGCCCUUCAAAGGCGAGAGUAGAAUCUGCUAUGAUUUAGAAGCAAGCAAUAAAAAGUACACAUCAGAAUUGGAGCCUGCACAGAUGUAGAAGGAGGCAUGAAGAGGGUAUUGGAGGAUUGCCCACUAUGCAGUCUGCAUCCUGAGUCUGUGGUGAGGCUGGACACGUUCAAGCUUACAGGAGAACUGGAGAAAGCAAGCAACACAGCGGUGGAAGUGAGACCACUGAAGCAGGGACAAGAGUGGAGGAGACAAACUGGACUCGGAACAAACUGGGAGCCUCUGCAUCCAUCCGUAACUGUCUGGCCGUGACAGUGGUUAGAGAGGAGUGGCUUCUGUGAAACUCUCACAAUCUCAAAUCUCCCACAAGUGCCUCUUUCAGCUAACUCUAAACUGGUACCAUAGAGGAAAUGGAUUCUGAAAACUUGGUCUCCAACCUUAGACAAAUUGAAUAAUUAAUAUGUCCUCUCCUGCUUCUUCUGUAACUGAAUUUGCAUUGGGAAGCAGGCCUGUCACUCUCAGACUUUGUGGUUUGAGUAGGGCUCACUUCAGCACCACCUUUUCCUCUUCUCAGCCCCACGGACUGGCAUGAGACUCAGGCCUGGCCAACUGAAUGUCACACACCUAUGACCAUCAGUUGGCUCAGAGAUGGACUCAGGACACCAUCACAGCCAAUGAAACCCUGUUAGGGAAAUUUGUCAGAACCAUACAAAGAAAUAGCUCCACUUUUCCAUAGAGAUGAGACAUAAGCCUGGACUAACUGGUGUCCAAUUUGCCAUCAAGAGAGCAUCUGAGAAGACAGAGGAAAACUGGGGAAAGCGAAGUCUAAGGAAGGUGAGUAAGGACAAGUCCAGUUGAUAUUACAUGAAUCACCUGGACCUGGAAAUCAAGGCAUUGCUGGAUUCAAGGCCAAGAAAAAUUGGAAGCUGGCUUGAAUCAGGUUCUAUCACUUGCAGUUGAAAAGGUCCAGACUAAUAUGAUAACAAAGGAGCAAGUAAGCAAGAUUCUGCCCUACAGUAAGUGCUCAAUGCAUGUCAGCUGGUAUUAUUAUUAUACAGACUUCUAUUUCUAGCCCUUUUAUUUCUACCACCUCUCUUCUGUGUUUUAUGUAAAGUGCAUAAGGAUUGUUCUGUUUGGAAACAUCAAACCAUAUAAAAUGACACCAGCAGGUCCCUUUCUGUCUGUCAGUGUCCACAAGCUCAACAACCAGGAUCAGCAGACAAAAACAGCUAAGCUGGAGUCAGUGUUUUUAUGAAGAAACAGGAAAAGAACUUACUUGGGAACUGUAGCUCAUCCUCCAAUAUUCUCCAUCCUAUCACUCUUUUCAUGACAGUUUCUUCUUGGCCCUGAAGUUGCCUUGUCAUGGCUCCCUGCCUCUGUCCUUUCUCUGUCUCACUUACAUCUUCCAAUGAGGAAUACAGCAAGACCUUUGGAUGAGGACCUCCAAAGGUCCUCAGUAUCCUUAGGACACUCGGUGCAGAACUAGAGGGACUGAGAGGAGGAGCUUUUGCAGGUUAAAUGACUAGUGAAUGGCCUUUCCUUAUAUUUCCAUUAGAAAUGGGAUUAGCUACACCUGAGAAGGAAUGACUUUGGAACAACUGAUCCCUAGCUUUCCAAAAUAUGAGAAAUUGAGAUGCAGGGAGUAGUAAGCACCUAGUUAAUGAGUCAAAGCAUAUUUAUAAAGUUCACAGGGUACAUAGCAUAUAGCAGCUGUUCUCUAUCUCAGUUGAGUUUUGACUAGGAAAUGGGCUUAGGAUAAAACACAUAGGCUUUUGAGUAAUCAUUUGUAAGAAAUUGUAGAUAGUGACCACAGUUUAAUAGCAUUAGAUAAAUUAUGAAAAGUCACUGAAAUACCUUCUCUGGAAAAUGUUAGAAGCUCAAGUACAAUGGCUUAGUUAAAGGCAGGUGGGGGAGAAACUUGAAGAAUGUGGUCCAGUACAAGAAUACCCCAUUUUUCCCCUAAGGCAAUGAAAAUGACAUGAAGUAAUCAUAGUUAUUUAUACAGGAACAAUUUAGGAGACUUAGAAUAUUCACUUCUUUUGCCUUCUAGCUGAGCAUCAAAAUUCUCUCUCUGUCUCUGCCUCUCUCUCUCUAUUUUCCACUUCUAGCUCCAACUAUUUUAAAUCCCUCCCCCAAUAGAACUCAUAACAAACAUAAAACAACAUUUGUUGUAUGUUUACAAUAGAUGUUCAAGCUAAUAUUUAUGUAGGCUUAGCCCUGGCAUUAAAUUAAGGUUUGGUUCACCAACAGGGUGCCUAGAGACUUCACCUCUAUUUCCAUGAGGGACUGAACAGCCUCUUGAGAAGGGACUCAUCAAAAUGGAAGAGUUGGCAAUAAGAAGUUUGGCUAAAUAACCAAGCACUGAAGUUGCAGAGGAGAAAGGAUUUGAAAGGCAGUACAGUGUCCAGGGGCAAGUUGGCAAUUUUUAGCAGGAGGUGAAGUGAUGCCAGCAGAGGUAACAGUGCUCAGAGGGACCAGUAGUCCCCAGGAGGAGCAGGGGAAUCCCCAGUGGAUCUGAUUUGUUCAAGAGCACAUGUGAGAUUAUCAGCUGGCGUUACAAUUUUGGAGUGGCAGUGAGAAGCAGUGAAUUUGAGGUCACUCAAUUUGCAGACCCCAAAGGGUGAAAUGUUGAGAAACAUGAGUUACACAUGUAUUUAACAGCUCUUGUGUAUUAUCACAAAUCCUAUUUCACCUCUCAUGCCCCCGAGGCUUUGGUGUCCAGUUCUCUGAAGACUUCAUCAAUCCUCAGCCAUAAAUCACCUGAGAGCAACUCACCUUGCUUCAUACUAUGAAGCUCCCUGAUGUCACAGCAUGGCAGGCCUGUGGCAACCCCUCAACACUUAUGCAUGAUCCCAAACAGCUAGAGGAUUAACACCUACGGUGUAACCCUUGACCAGCAGGAAAUGGAAAUUACUGUCUUUUUGUCCCCGCAGGUGAAUGGUUCUAAAAUGCAUUUUAUAAGCCUUCUGAAAUAGUCCCACAGGUCAAGCACCUACUUGCUCCAGUGGUGACCAACUCAAUGAUGCAUCCUUGGGUUGACUCUCCCUCCUUUCCAGUUCACUUUCCCCGCCCCUCACUCCUGCACCUCAGCAUCACAUUCCUGAAUAAACCACUCACACAUCUGUCUUAUUUCAGACUCUGUUUGGGGGAAUCCACAAUAAAAAUUUGUCAUUUUGAGUUAAACAUUGCUCUCACCUUGAAGACAUAUUUCCAUACCUAGAGAUUUCUGAAGUUCUCUCCCUUUUCCUAUCAUCUCCUUUGUGCUUUGUCUGACCUCCAUGUUACAGAGCCCCAUGAUAUUUAGAGCCAGUACUGCUAGGGAAGUAGUUCAGUUGUGUUUUAAAUGGUUCAGCAACUUGUAACAUCAACUGAGAACCAGAGGAAUACACUUGGAGGCCAAGAAAAAAAUGUUAGCUAAUAUGUACCAUACAGUAUGAUUCCUUGGGUAAGGGAAAGUAUAUGCAAGUGACAGAGGAAAAUUGAAAGUUGUAGCCCUUUUUUGGACUUUAGAUUUGGAAUUAAAGUUUCUCUUCUCUUGAAAGACCUUCUUUUUGUGGAUAAUGAUGAAUCUGAAGACCAGAACAGUGGGCCAAUUUGCCUUAGUUGAGAGUGGCAAAUAAAUGAAGAACUGAAGAACGUAUCUCUUUAACUAGUGCUCCUUUGUUGAGAAGAUACAAAACAAACAAUUGAAGGGUAUGGAUGAAGCCAUUGGCUUAUUCAUGUCUCUGUUGAUCAUAAUGAGAUUAAUAUAUAUAGGACAUUCACACAAAGAGGAUAUUGACUCGAUGGCUUACAGAUUAUUAGAGUUAGAAAUGUGACCUACUACUAAAGGAAGAAUGUUUCAGGUGUGGAUCUCUGAUUUAAAAAAUACACCACACUUGCCUCAGUGAAGCAAGUCAACUUAGGUGCUGAUACAAUGCCACUGCAGCUGUGCUGAGUUCAUGAAAUCAGAUCCCACUCUCUUCACCUACCCCUACCGUAUUCAUCCUACUUUCCGUCUGCUCUGCCCUUCCCAUUUGGUAACCUAGUCAUGAAACACCUGGCUCUGGGUCCUUCCUUCAGCAUCACUCCACGUUGUACUGCUGGCAUCGCUUUUCUUGGCACAGAACCUCUUAGGGCUGCUAUCCUAGGAGUAGGUGCUACUCAGGCUGGCUUAGUCCCAGGCUUCACUCACUUCUUGGCCCAUGGCCAGGAGGACCGGAAAGAACAAACUCUCUGCACAUCUCUGCAGGUGGCCACAGAGCCCCCAUCUGAGCCUUGCUGAUGGAGAAGAGCAUGCUGCAUCACAAGAUAACUGUGUGGCUCUGUUCAAAAACCUUGUUUAGAAGUUAUUAUUUCUUUUAUUGCAUUAGAAUUUGCCUCACUGUAGCUUUUGUGCUUCUGUCCUGGUUCAGCCUUAGAUAGCAGUGCAGCCUGGUCCAUGUGAAAGCUCUUGCAAUAGGCCUUUCUGCUAGUCAGGAGUUCUCAGACCCAUCCCUACUCUUCACUUUUCUCAAGACUAAUAUCAGACUCCUGGGCUCUUCAAGGUUUCCUCAUAUGAUAAAAGUUCUAAGCCCUCCAUUGUCCUAGUCACUGUCCUCUCUGUUCCAUCCCUGUCUGCCCUUCCAAGAUGCUGCACCUGGAGAUGAAUUUGUCCUUCCUGGGGCAAGUCACCAUGAGAUGAUUACUUUUGGAUCAUACUGAAUUUGUGGGUUAAAUAAACUCAUAGGUCUUUAUCUCAUGCACUAAAUCCAAAUUCGAUCUCUUGCCGUAAAUCAUUUUUUUGAAUAGCUGAACAAUAAGUAAAUAAUACACAAAUGAAAACUAAUCAAUAUUUGAACAUCCUCAGUAUUUUCAGCCCUAGUUUGAGCCAGACAUAGCUCAUCUUGUAUACUUCACUAAGGACACUUUAUACGAUCAAGCAAUUAAUAUUAUGAUGUCAUGUCUCGCAAGCCCCAUAGUGUCACUUCCAGUCUCUUCACCACAAAGAACGUUGAAGCCUUCGUAUUUUUUUGAAAAUCAUAUUUCUAGCUGCAGGAUGGGAUGUAAGAAAAGUUCAGAUUAGGAUUAUUCUAGGCUCCUGACUAUAACUAAAAUCCUGAUUUUUUAUGGAAAGGAAUGAGGAUCAUUCCUUCAAAUUAGAUUUUUGUGAUAAAAAGAAAAAAGUUGGUAAUCUAUUCAAAAUUGUAACAAAAAUAACUGCAUUUUUCUUUGGAAAAUAAUAGUUGAUUCCUUUUUGCUUUUUUUACUUAUGAAUUGGGGUGCAAUAGAGUUUAAUAAAAAUGAUGUGAAACACUCUUAUAAGGCUAAUUUAUCACAUUUGCUUCAAGGAAUUGUCCUUUCUAACAAAAUUGUGAAAUGGAACUGAACAGUAGCAUGAUGAGGCCUCUACCAGGAGGAGGUACAGAACAAGGCAGGAGGUCAGUGGUUAAAGGACUCCUUGCUUAUGCUCAAGAAAUGUGGACCUUAUUAGAGGUGACACAGUGAAAUCAGUCACCUGAUUUCGCAGGUGACUGUGGAGCAAGAAUGCAAAUCCACAAUAUUAGGAUGAAUGUGAGAGGAGAAGGGAAGGAGGCCAUGAGGGAAAAAAGGACAUCUAAUUGGGUCUGAAAGGAAGGGUAGAAUUUAAGUAAAGAGCACUGUGUACAUAUGGGAAUACCAUGUACUUUCUCAUGGAGAGAGGCCUUCUGACAGUCCUGCAUUGAUCCUGCUUCUUUGACCAUCCCUUGUUAGCCAGCAGGUCAUUUGGCCUCACUAGUUGCCUCAGUGCUGAGUGAUAGACUCAGCAGUCCCCAGCCUCUUUGGCACCAGGGACUGGUUUUGUGGAAGAUAAUUUUUCCAUGGAUCAGGGAGAGGAUGGUUUCAGGAGGAUUUAAGU
Molecule: long non-coding RNA, 7781 nt
Filed under: Homo sapiens (human)
Lineage: Eukaryota; Metazoa; Chordata; Mammalia; Primates; Hominidae
Description: HSALNT0308951
Source: RNAcentral